GACAGGUUUCGUAGGUGAACUGCGGAAGGAUCAUUA
Molecule: ribosomal RNA, 36 nt
Filed under: Phytopythium sp. HSR-2011
Lineage: Eukaryota; Oomycota; Peronosporomycetes; Pythiales; Pythiaceae
Description: partial 18S ribosomal RNA
Source: RNAcentral